UGGGGAAUCUUGGACAAUGGGGCAACCCUGAUCCAGCCAUGCCGCGUGAGUGAUGAAGGCCUUAGGGUCGUAAAGCUCUUUCGCCUGUGAAGAUAAUGACGGUAGCAGGUAAAGAAACCCGGCUAACUCCGUGCCAGCAGCCGCGGUAAUACGGAGGGGGUUAGCGUUGUUCGGAAUUACUGGGCGUAAAGCGCACGUAGGCGGACCAGAAAGUUGGGGGUGAAAUCCCGGGGGGCUCAACCCCGGAACUGCCUCCAAAACUAUUGGUCUAGAGUUCGAGAGAGGUGAGUGGAAUUCCAAGUGUAGAGGUGAAAUUCGUAGAUAUUUGGAGGAACACCAGUGGCGAAGGCGGCUCACUGGCUCGAUACUGACGCUGAGGUGCGAAAGUGUGGGGAGCAAACAGGAUUAGAUACCCUGGUAGUCCACACCGUAAAACGAUGAAUGCCAGUCGUCGGGUAGCAUGCUAUUCGGUGACACACCUAAC
Molecule: ribosomal RNA, 484 nt
Filed under: uncultured bacterium
Lineage: Bacteria
Description: bacterial SSU rRNA
Rfam family: Bacterial small subunit ribosomal RNA
Source: RNAcentral